RNAcentral lists this long non-coding RNA (216 nucleotides) under Vigna radiata. RNAcentral's name for it is "long non-coding RNA (VRAD_LNC017773)". The record is from RNAcentral. Lineage: Eukaryota; Viridiplantae; Streptophyta; Magnoliopsida; Fabales; Fabaceae.
AGUCAUGGCUUUGAUACCAUGUUAGAAGUGGACUUUAAGCCUUAACUCAACCCCACAAAACCGGCUUGUAGGAUGAGGUUUGUACCCACUUAUAUACACUUAAAUGGCCUCAUCUCUAGUCGAUGUGAGACUUCCAACAGUCUUUCAAGCUUUUUUUCAUUCCUUGGUGAUUUCACUCAGUUUUUAGCUCUGGAUUUAGGUUGAGGUAGUUCUAGC